Molecule: long non-coding RNA, 201 nt
Filed under: Elaeis guineensis (African oil palm)
Lineage: Eukaryota; Viridiplantae; Streptophyta; Magnoliopsida; Arecales; Arecaceae
Description: long non-coding RNA (EGUI_LNC010144)
Source: RNAcentral
CACGAGACGCCCAAACCUAGUCAAAUUUCUUGCUUAGGAUAGUUAUUCCAAAAUUAGAGUUGUCUGGGUUCAAUAGGGCUAAACCCUGCUUUCAGCCCUAUCCCUCCUUAAGUUAUCGAGCCACUACUCCAACCUACUAUAUAAUACCCUCCCAUUAAUUCACCUUCUCGUAGUAAACUGUUUUAGCGUUAAGUGAAAAGG